CAGUUAGCUAACACUGUCAGCUACUAUGGAACAAGGUACACUGUUGGGAUGAUCCUCACCUAUGGCUCUACUGGUGGACUACCUGACUUUGCUGAGAUUGUUCAGAUAGCCAUUUUGGACAACUGUAUAUAUUUUAUUGUAAAGUUACUUGCUGCCUGGUAUGAAGAGCAUUUAAGAUCUUUUUACCUGGAGGUCACUGGGAAAAUGGCUCUUUUGGAUCAGCAGAAACUUGGUGACGUCCACCCCUUGGCCGCGUACAGUGUGGGAGGAAAACGCUUGGUUACACUCAAACGUCACAUCUGUUGUGCAUUUUAGAGAUGGAGGCAAAGCUCAGAGUAAUCCUUAAUGACAGAGUUGAGAAGUUGGUCCUUCCAUCAGGAAUCCCACCCACUGUGGAGGAGCUGCAAACUGUUGUGAAGGAGACCUUUGGAAUUUCUGAUGAGUUCAGUCUUCAGUAUUUGGACUCAGAAUUUGAAGAUUACUUUACUCUUCAUACAAGUGACCAAAUUAAACACAAAGACACCAUAAAGAUUGUUCACACUGCCCCAAUUAUCCUUAACUUGCUCCCACUUGAUGAAAGUUUGGGCAGUUCCUUUGAUCAACAGUCAACAGACUGUGAUUCUGCAUCGUAUGCAGACUCAUCUGCUGGAACGUCUUCUUCACAGGACACCAUUAUCCUGUCUAGGCGAAAUACUACAGAACGAUGUCAAGGGUGGCCAAAGCAGUUCCCCAUUCCAGGGUUUGCAUAUGAAACUGAGAUGUACCUUGAAAGAGCCACUGAAGACUACAAGAACAAUGGAACACUUGUGACUACCUCAAAGAUCAAGACAGACAUACUUGAGAAGCUGGCUGAAACUAUAUAUACGUAUACAGCCUAUCCAUCAAGUGCACAGAUAAGUGAUGUUGCUGAGGCACUUGUCAGUAAGUAUCCUUGUCUUAAGGAACCCGGCUCCUUCUCAGGUUAUUAUGGAUGGCAACAAAGCAUCAAAUACAAGAUGGCAAAUUAUCGCACCAAACUCCGAGGCUAUGGUGUUCCUGAGGUGAUGUGUAAUGCACUGAAACACAAGAACCCAGCAAACCAGAAGUCUGCAAAGAAUGUAAAAAAAACCUCGAAAGGCAGAGGUAAACUACCUCCCCCCUUACCCGGCAGGAGAGGAUGAAGAAAGUCAAGAACAAGAGAGGAUUCAGUUGCUUACUGAAGUAAGAAAAAGGGACAACAACAAAUUGAUCAAAGAAAAAAUGGCAAAAUCAUUUGCACACAGAAGAAACGAAAUCAUCAACCUAUCACCCAACAUAGAAGACAUCAAAACCAGAUGGCCUGCUCUAUUUGAGCCCUCUCAAAUCCAGGAUGAGUUUCACAGAAUCACAAUGGUG
Perca flavescens (yellow perch) is the source of this 1374-nucleotide long non-coding RNA. RefSeq lists it as uncharacterized. The record is from RefSeq and is a predicted model, not a curated record. The transcript has 3 exons. NCBI's taxonomy places the organism in Eukaryota, Metazoa, Chordata, Actinopteri, Perciformes, Percidae.